Molecule: long non-coding RNA, 517 nt
Filed under: Oryctolagus cuniculus (rabbit)
Lineage: Eukaryota; Metazoa; Chordata; Mammalia; Lagomorpha; Leporidae
Description: lncRNA (ENSOCUG00000036361.1)
Source: RNAcentral
AUGUGUCUGAGAAGGGUUUACAGUCAUGGGGGACACACUACUGGAGCCUGGGAGGUCCAUGCCUGUGCAGCCCACCACAGAGCAGAGAGCUCACUGCAUGCUGCCACUUCUGGAACAAAAGAGAGCUCUCCCAGCUCUGGCGCCAGAUGCCUCUCUAUUUACUCUUCUGACGAUCAAUAUAAUGACAUAAACGGGAUCACAUCGCUCCUCGACUCAAAGUCCUCCAGUGACAUCUCAUUUCUGAAUAAAAGCCACAGGUAUUUUUAUGGCCUGCAUGACAUUAUGUGCACUUUCUCCUGAUGCUGCCUUAUUAUCUUCCCAUUGUUCUUAGCUAUCCAGUAAUCUUUUCACUUUGUUCCGUGAAGUGAAGUCAGUCCCCAACUCAGUACCACGUAUUGCAAUUACCUCCAUCUGGAGUAAUUUCUCUAGGGUAUCCGUGUGGAGUAUUUUCCUAUUUUAUUAAAAAAUAUGCUCAUGUGUCUUGUAACAGAAAGGCCAUUUCAUUCUUAACAAGUUU